GCCUGGCUGGCUCAGUCAGUAGAGCAUGUGACUCUUGAUCUCAGGGUUGUGAGUUCAAGCCUCACAUUAGGUG
This 73-nucleotide transfer RNA is filed under the name Mustela putorius furo (domestic ferret). RNAcentral describes it as "tRNA-Lys (CTT) (tRNA-Lys-CTT-11-1)". It matches the Rfam family "tRNA". Rfam says of the family: Transfer RNA (tRNA) molecules are approximately 80 nucleotides in length. Their secondary structure includes four short double-helical elements and three loops (D, anti-codon, and T loops). Further hydrogen bonds mediate the characteristic L-shaped molecular structure. tRNAs have two regions of fundamental functional importance: the anti-codon, which is responsible for specific mRNA codon recognition, and the 3' end, to which the tRNAs corresponding amino acid is attached (by aminoacyl-tRNA synthetases). tRNAs cope with the degeneracy of the genetic code in two manners: having more than one tRNA (with a specific anti-codon) for a particular amino acid; and 'wobble' base-pairing, i.e. permitting non-standard base-pairing at the 3rd anti-codon position. The record is from Rfam by way of RNAcentral. Lineage: Eukaryota; Metazoa; Chordata; Mammalia; Carnivora; Mustelidae.